GAUGAACGCUGGCGGCGUGCCUAACACAUGCAAGUCGAACGGAGAAUGAGAGAAAGCUUGCUUUUUCUCAUUCUUAGUGGCGGACGGGUGAGUAACGCGUGAGCAACCUGCCUUUCAGUGGGGGAUAACGUCUGGAAACGGACGCUAAUACCGCAUGACACAUGACUGUGGCAUCACAGACAUGUCAAAGGAGCAAUUCGCUGAAAGAUGGGCUCGCGUAUGAUUAGAUAGUUGGUGAGGUAACGGCCCACCAAGUCGACGAUCAUUAGCCGGACUGAGAGGUUGAACGGCCACAUUGGGACUGAGACACGGCCCAG
RNAcentral lists this ribosomal RNA (317 nucleotides) under uncultured bacterium. Its description in RNAcentral is "bacterial SSU rRNA". It matches the Rfam family "Bacterial small subunit ribosomal RNA", at positions 28 to 334 of the family's 1533-position model. The record is from RNAcentral.